RNAcentral lists this ribosomal RNA (1505 nucleotides) under Lepetodrilus guaymasensis. RNAcentral describes it as "16S ribosomal RNA". The stretch from base 135 to 1454 matches the Rfam family "Bacterial large subunit ribosomal RNA". The record is from RNAcentral. Lineage: Eukaryota; Metazoa; Mollusca; Gastropoda; Lepetellida; Lepetodrilidae.
UUUUAAAAAAUAAAUAAAUUUGCAAAGCUAUAAAGUUGGGUCAUAAGUAAAAAUAAGGAAACGUCCGAUUAGAGUGAGUAGUUUGGUGAGCGAAAAACUCAGGGUAUUGCAAUAGGUUGUCCGAGAGGGAAAAUUAUAAAAAUAAUAAAUUUGAUUUUAGUAGAGCUUAGAGCUUGUACCUUUUGCAUCAUGGUUUUCUAAGAAAGAGACUUGAAAAUCAAGUUCUCCCGAAAUGAGGUGAGCUAUCUUUUUACAAAUAAUUGACGUGGCAAAGUCAGGUAUAGAUGAAAAGAUUGGAGUGAAACGCUUGUCGCACCUUGUGAUAGCUGGUUUACUAGGAGAAGCAUCGAAGUGUUGAUUUAUUGUAGAGAUUUCAGUCAGAAAGUAGGACUAGUAAUACGGAGAUAGAAUUUAUGCGGGGGAGGAUCAGCUCUCUCGGUUGUUAAGAAAAAUAUUAGAUUGCUUGUUGUAAAGUGGGCUUAAGGUUAGUCAUUUUUAAAAAGUUUGUUAAAAAAUAACGAUUUAGUGGAGUAGUUAAUAUUUAUUUUUUUCUAGCAUUAGAAGUGUACUAGUAGUAAAGGUUAAAUAAUUAAACUCUUUUAAGAUACUGGAAGAAUGAGUAUUUUUAAAGAACUUUUAAAUGUUUUACCUAAUUAAUGGAAUUAACUAAAGAAAAGUAAAGGUUUAGUAAUAAAUUUAAUGAAGGAACUUGGCAAAUACUGGUCUCGCCUGUUUAUCAAAAACAUGGCUCUCUGCUAGUUAUAAAAAUGAGGAUAGAGAGUCUGACCUGCCCGGUGAUGUAGGAAUUAAACGGCCGCAGUACCCUGACUGUGCAAAGGUAGCAUAAUCAUUUGCCUUUUAAUUGAGGGCUAGUAUGAAAGGUUUGACGUGGACUAAGCUGUCUCCUGAGAAUUAUAUAGAAAUUAAUUUUUAGGUGAAAAAGCCUAAAUUUAGUUAUGGGACGAGAAGACCCCGUUGAGCUUUAACUAAACUUGAGGAUAGGGAAAACAAUAAAGUGUAUUGAACUGAUUUUUAAGGUGUUUUUAGUGGGGGAAAACGGAGGAACAAGUAGAGCUUCCUCUUUUUAUAGUAAAUUGGACCAUAUUUAAAAGAUGUGGGUAUAUUUAGAAAGUUGAAUUAAGGCUGAUGUGCAGAGGUUUAAUAAAAGGAUCCGUUGAAUAAAUAAAGACGAUUAAGGGAGAGAGUUACCACGGGGAUAACAGCGUAAUUUCUUCUGGAGAGUUCAUAUUGAAGGAGGGGUUUGCGACCUCGAUGUUGGAUUAAGACAUCCUGAGGGUGUAGCAGCUUUCAAGGGUUGGUCUGUUCGACCAUAAAAGUCUUACAUGAUCUGAGUUCAGACCGGCGUGAGCCAGGUUGGUUUCUAUCUUUAAACUUGAAGAUAUCUUCGGCUAGUACGAAAGGAUUGCUGUAUAAUUGGAUAAAUUAUUUAUAGUUUGUGAAUUACAAUAACAGAUGAAUAAGAGAAAUUUGGUUGAGAAAGUCUA